AAGCGGGAAACUAGCUUCAAGAUAAGUAUUCUAAGAGGAAGCUUCGAGAACAGGAGCUGGAUAGGUUGGGGGUGUACGCGCAGUAAUGUGUUUAGCUGACCAAUACUAAUCGAACGAAAUUUUAAUCGG
This 129-nucleotide ribosomal RNA is filed under the name Fusobacterium necrophorum. RNAcentral's name for it is "partial 23S ribosomal RNA". It matches the Rfam family "Bacterial large subunit ribosomal RNA", at positions 2783 to 2925 of the family's 2925-position model. Lineage: Bacteria; Fusobacteriati; Fusobacteriota; Fusobacteriia; Fusobacteriales; Fusobacteriaceae. The record is from RNAcentral.